UUAGCUGUAUUUAACUGAACACACACAUACACACAUUUUAUGAAUCAUGCUGUUGGUGAGUGAGCGUGAGAAGCUCAGGACAGCAGAGACGUGGUGAGCUCCUGAUGAAGUGUGUGUGUGUGUGUGUGUGUGUGUGUGCCCACUCAAGCUCUACUGUCUCUAAAGCCGAGCUGUGACACCUUCUGAAUCACCAGUGAGAUUCACCUGAGUCAUUUAGCAAAGAUAAAUAGAGGCUUCGGCAGCAGCGAGAUGCAGAGCCGCUGAACGCUGAAGCUUCUCUGACGCUUGUGUUUCACUCAAAGCACACUGAGAGUGGUUAGAAACGGCCAGCAGAACGGAAUAUCAUACAAGAGGCAGAUUAAUGGGUCGCAUUACAUCGAUUUACUCCAACUAAGCUUAAAAAGUCUUCAUAACACGGUCUGUGAACAGGAGCGCUGCUCUACCGGGUGCGCUAGCGAGCAAGUUUACCACCACAGACAAAACCAAACAUGUGGAGCUGCUUAUGUGAUGUAAAUGUCAAAAUGUAUUAAUUUACUAUGACAGAAGUGUUUUGCACUCAUAACAUUGUAUUGUGCACUAAACCACAAGAAAAUAAGGCUUUAUUGAUCAAUAAUCUGCCACUAGUGUUGAUUUCAGCUGGAAACUGCAGUGUUUGUAUGUGUAGACCUAUGUUUUUAAUGGAAAGAAAUUAACGAGGAGACGCUGUUUUAGCCAAUAACUGCAGGUGUCCUUUACUGUAGUGAUCUGGCUUUUUUGACUUAACUCACCCUCAUCUUCAUCUUCUCGCUCAUGAUGGGUCACAUUGGCAGAUGUCAUUGUUGCCAGGGAGACAGAUGACAUCAGGGAAUGACAUCGCAUCACUUCCUGCGGCCGCCGACAAGCUUUAAUUAUCACUAGGUGAAGGGUCAUAUUUCUGGACAUGAUCUGAAUCGUUCAGAAGAUUCACCGAGAAUCACUAUAUUUAGGGAGACACAUGAUGCGUUUUAGCCUUUGGUCACUUUAUAACAUUAUAUGUCCAUUUCAUAACAUUAUCUUACACAUUUGAGUAAUAUAAUAUAAAUAUACCUUGUUUAUUUCUGAGUCUGUUUUUCAUGUUUCAGAGCUCAAGCUUUUCUUCCACUCCUUUAGUGAACGCUGGAUCUGGAGACAGACAGGACAAGCUGAAUUCAUGCUCAACAUGAUCAAGCAAUCAAAAGAAAUAUAUUUUCUUUGCAUAAGGGCAUAGAGAUGAACCGACCCAGACGACGACGCUGUGACCCCCAAAACAGCAACAACAAGCCCUAAUUAAACCAUUAAAUCAUCUUCACAAACCAAUACAAACUGUGAGGCUUUCACUUUCUUGAGUUUGUUACCUGAAACACUACAUCCAUCAGAGAUCGCACAUGAGUAUGAACAGCAGUAAUAUUAACAGAUGAAUAAGGACUCUGAAUGCAGCAGAGAAGUCUUUCCAGUGAUGUUCAGUUGUUCAGAAGCACUUUCACAAGCGGGAAUGAAGCAGCAGAUUUGUCAGCGUGAUGCUGCUCAUAUUUUCCUGAUGACGCCGAUGAUUCGCACCAGAUUCUGUGGCUAAUAAACCUCCAGCACUUGAAUAUGACAUUUGGACAUGACAGAUAAACACACAUGUUGAGUUGGAGCGCAGCCUCGGCGUUGACCUGCUGUCCUGUUAUCAGAGUCCCCCAGCAACCAUCUGUCUCAGGAGCGGGACAAACUCACAGUCUGUCAUCAAACGAGCGCUUCACAGAUGGACAGAAACAUUCCCUUCCCUUCGUCAGCUCUCUCCCACUUUCUUGCUUUGUAAUUCAAACACGCAAAUCCACAAGAGCCUCUUCUGGCUCUUUCAGUUUUUACAUACAA
Molecule: long non-coding RNA, 1854 nt
Organism: Cyprinus carpio (common carp)
Lineage: Eukaryota; Metazoa; Chordata; Actinopteri; Cypriniformes; Cyprinidae
Exons: 4
Source: RefSeq, a predicted model, not a curated record